UCCCGUAAACCGUAGCUCAGUUCAGAUCGUAGGCUGCAACUCGCCUACGUGAAGGAGGAAUCGCUAGUAAUCGCAGGUCAGCAUACUGCGGUGAAUACGUUCCCGGGCCUUGUACACACCGCCCGUCACACCAUGGAAGUUGGCCACGCCCGAAGCCGUUACUCCAACCCUCGGGAGGAGGACGUCGAAGGUGGGGCUGAUGACUGGGGUGAAGUCGUAACAAGGUAUCCGUACCGGAAGGUGCGGAUGGAUCACCUCCUAA
Molecule: ribosomal RNA, 262 nt
Filed under: uncultured cyanobacterium
Lineage: Bacteria; Bacillati; Cyanobacteriota
Description: partial 16S ribosomal RNA
Rfam family: Bacterial small subunit ribosomal RNA
Source: RNAcentral